RNAcentral lists this long non-coding RNA (3165 nucleotides) under Musa acuminata (dwarf banana). RNAcentral describes it as "long non-coding RNA (MACU_LNC009899)". The record is from RNAcentral. Lineage: Eukaryota; Viridiplantae; Streptophyta; Magnoliopsida; Zingiberales; Musaceae.
UCGAGAAAAAAUAACAAAUUAGUCGAUAACAUAAAGCUGUUGGAUUUGGUAAUUAUCAAUGAGCUUUGUUGAUCAUCCAAGCAUGUAACUGUAUCAACCAUCGAGUGGACAUGUCACCCGAAUCGUCGAUGAGCUUUGUUGAUCAUCCAAGCAUGUAACUGUAUCAGCCAUCGAGUCCAGCAGAUACCUGACCAUGCCUGGUGCUCUAUCGAUGUAAGGCCAGAUGAUGGGGAUAACAAUAGAAUUUACAGAAAGGAUGAUGCAAAUAAGCGAAGGAUGUCACAACUGGGAGCAUGGGUGACGCUGAGCUGGGUGACGCUGAGCGAGCGAAGACGAAUCAACAGCACCCGUAAGAUUGGUUGUGAGAGAAAGAUCAGUAUUGUUGGCUAUGGAAGGUGCCGAGAAACCCGAUUGACGAUUCUCGACACUAUAUCGCCGGCGACCAUACCGAAAACAGAGCGACGAGUUCAAAUCGGAAAGAAUCGACACAUGAAGAUCACUUUUAGGAGGGAUCUAGAACAUGUACCUGUUGAAUCUCGUAUUUUGAUGAUGAAACUACUUGAUAUAUGUUUAUGAUUUAAUCUGCGUUUUGAGUGACGCAGGAUGCUUCGAUCAGGAUGAGACAAUUAAAGCAGGAAAAUCAUGUUGUGCCGAAGGAACAUGUCAGAAGAUUGGACGUCGGGCCGGUGGAUCGGUCGACGUAUCGACAGAAGGCUUCGGGCCGUGAACUCGGGCAUCGGGCCAAGAAGAGCGGGUAUUGUGCCAAGGAUAUCAGAGUUGCGAAGUCAACUGGCCGAUUGGGCAAUAGGCUGCAGGAGAGAACGAUGCGCCGAAGAAUCGGACGAAGCGUCGAGGGACCAAUGACAUGUCGGACAACUUGGUUAAUUGCUUAGGAUUAAUUGUCUCGAUCGAAGUUUUGUUUUGUUGUGCAGGAUUAACUACGAUAAGAGUAAGACAAGCAGCCAGGAGUUGCGCCGGAGUCAAGAUCAUGAUCACGUUGGGAGUUCGAGAGUUCGACGGAAGUUCGGACGGUCGUCGGAGGUUCAGAGAGAACAGAUCCGAGAAGUCCAGAAGCUUGCCAAGCGAAGCUCGUCGGAACUCGCCAAGUGGAUCGUCGCAAAGUCCAGGAGUAUGCCGGAUGUCCGCAGAAGGAUCACCGAAGGUUAUCGGUUGAUCGACGGAAGUUGGCCGGAAACUCGCCGGAAGAAGCGAUUGACGCAUCGGAGCAAAGCUGCAGAAGUUGUCUUAGAGAUAUUCGUAGUUAGCACGAUGAUUAAGCAUGAAAAUGGGAGGUGAUCCCAUUAGCUUAAUCUUGGGGCAAUUGGGCCCCUGAAAAGAUUCAAAGUGGGUCGAAUGGAGUGAACCAUUCGGACCCUGAUUGCACCAGGAGGUGCAACCGCCCCAGCCAGGAGGUGCAACCGCCUGGGCUGUGGGGUUGAGAGGUGCAACCGCCCCAGCCAGGAGGUGCAACCGCCAGGGUUGCAAGGCUGGGAGGUGCAACCGCCCCAGCCAGGAGGUGCAACCGCCAGGGUUGCAAGGCUGGGAGGUGCAACCGCUCCAGCCAAGAGGUUGCACCGCCAGAGCUCAAGUUCCGAGCUCUGCCAGGCGAUGCAACCACCGAGCUCAGUCUUCGAGCUCUGGCAGAGUGGUGCAUCAGCCUGAGCUCAGUCUCGAGCUUUGCCAGGUGAUGCAUUCACCAAGCUCAGUCUUCGAGCUCUGGCAGAAUGGUGCAUCAGCUUGAGCUCAGUUUGGAGCUCUGCCAAGUGAUGCAACCACCAAGCUCAGUCUUCGAGCUCUGCCAGGCGAUGCAACCAUCGAGCUCAGUCUUCGAGCUCUGGCAGAGAGAAGCAAUCGGCAGAGCUCAGUCUUCGAGCUCUGCCAGGCGGUGCCACCUCUCCAGUCGAGAGGUGCAACCGCCUGAUCCCAGAAUUCUGGGAUUUGAUCGAUUUGAUCGUUUUGAGCUCGAAUUUUGAAUUGGGUUGGGGCCUAUAAAUACCCCACCCAUUCAGCACUGAAAAGAUAACAGACCAAUACCGAAAUAUUGAUCUUUUCUGUGAUUCUAAGAGCUCAAAAGUGUUGUAAAGUCUUUAAGUCUCCUCCUUCUGUUCUUCAAGUUUUUGAUUGUAAAGUGAGGAGAGAAAGGUCUGUAAAGGUUGUCUCCUGAGCCUGUCAAAAGGAGAGAAACUGUAAAAGGGCAGUUAGCCUUCACCCAUUGAAGGAAGGCCCCUAGUUGACGUCGGCAACCUCGUCGGUGGAGGAAGCCAAAAGUGGAGUAGGUCAAGGCUGACCGAACCACUCUAAAUCUCUGGUUUGCGUUUAUUUUCGAGCACUUUAUCAUUACUGCAAACCUCCUUCAUUGCUACUGCUCUCUGCGCUUUCACGAACAAAUUCUAAGUGCUGUUCUUCCAAAUCUGCAUUCAGACGUAAAUUCGUAUUUUCGUACAUUACAGUUUACGUUUACGUUUGAUUCUGCAGAACUGUCUUCCGUGCUUUUACGAACGAGUUUCUUUGCAGUUUACGCUUACAUUUUAAUCCUAUUAAUAACUGCAAUCUGUCCUCUAUGAUCUUACGAACGAGUUUCAACAUUUAGACGCAAAACUGCAUUCAGACGUAAAUCGGCUUUUCUCGCUCAAUCGUCAGAUUUCAGUUCACGUUUACGUCUUGAUUUCAACUGCAUACUGCCUUCUGCGAGUAUACAAACAAGUUUCAAAGUUUAGACGUAAAUCUGCGUUUAGACGUAAAUCUGCGUUUAGACGUAAAACUACGUUUAGACGUAAAUCUGCGUUUAGACGUAAAACUGCGUUUAGACGUAAAACUGCGUUUAGACGUAAAACUGCGUUUAGACGUAAAUCUGCGUUUAGACGUAAAUCUGCGUUUAGACGUAAAUCUGCGUUUAGACGUAAAUCUGAGUUUAGACGCAAAACUGCACUUAGACGCAAAACUGCGCUUAGAUGCAAAACUGCGCUUAGAUGCAAAACUGCGCUUAGACGCAAAACUGCGCUUAAACGCAAUCUGCGCUUAGACGCAAACUGCACUUAGAUACAAACUGAGAAUUUGCUUUUGCAUCAUAAUAGUUUUUGAACGAACGCAGCUUUUGGUUCUUAAUCGCUGUAAGAUUUCCGCUGCACUAAUUCACCCCCCCCCCUCUUAGUGCUCUCGAUCCUA